RNAcentral lists this ribosomal RNA (763 nucleotides) under Phaeoacremonium minimum. Its description in RNAcentral is "mitochondrial SSU rRNA". It matches the Rfam family "Bacterial small subunit ribosomal RNA", at positions 368 to 1210 of the family's 1533-position model. Lineage: Eukaryota; Fungi; Ascomycota; Sordariomycetes; Togniniales; Togniniaceae. The record is from RNAcentral.
UCAAUGGCCUAACGGCUGAACUGGCAAUUUGGAGGAAUGUCCAAUAAUGGAUAAAUCGAUGNUCUCNGAAUAAAAUUCUAAAUAUAUAAUUGAUAAUGACAAUAUAUAUUUAUGUCUUGACCAAUUACGUGCCAGCAGUCGCGGUAAUACGUUAAAAGACUAGUGUUAUUCAUCAUUAAUAGGUUUAAAGGGUACUCAAACGGUAAAUUUGCCUUAAAAAGGGACAAUUUUUCUAGAGUUUGAUAUAAGGAGGUAGUACUCGUGAGUGGAGAGAUGAUAUUCUUUGAUACCUAGGGGACUGAUUAAGGCGUAGGCAACCUCUUAUGUAUAAACUGACGUUGAAGGACGAAGGCACAGGGCACGAACAGGAUUAGGUACCCCAGUAGUCUUUGCAGAGAAUGAUGAAUGCCAUAGGUUAGGUUAACCAAAACUUAGUCUAUAAAUGAAAGUGUAAGCAUUUCACCUCAAGAGUAAUAUGGCAACGUAGGAACUGAAAUCACUAGACCGUUUCUGACACCAGCAGUGAAGUAUGUUAUUUAAUUCGAUGAUCCACGAAAAAUCUUACCACAAUUUGAAUACUUUCAAUAUGUUAGUACAAGUGUUGCACGGCUGUUUUCAGUUAAUGUUGUGAAACUGUGGUUCGGUCCAUAGAAUUAACGAAAACCCUCGCUUUAUUUGUAAAGUUUAUUAUGAUAAAGCAGCUCACCUUUAUAUUGGAUGUGAUAAGAGGGACUAAGACAAGUCAUCAUGGCCUUGAUAUUGU